Molecule: ribosomal RNA, 244 nt
Filed under: uncultured bacterium
Lineage: Bacteria
Description: partial small subunit ribosomal RNA
Rfam family: Bacterial small subunit ribosomal RNA
Source: RNAcentral
AGAAUCAACGCUGGCGGCGUGCCUAACACAUGCAAGUCGCACGAGAAAGUGGAGCAAUCCACGAGUAAAGUGGCGCACGGGUGAGUAACACGUGAAUAAUCUACCUCCGAGUGGGGAAUAACUGAGAGAAAUCUUAGCUAAUACCGCAUAAUACCUACGGGUCAAAGGAGCAAUUCGCUUCAGGAGGGGGUCGCGGCCGAUUAGCUAGUUGGCGGGUAAUGGCCCACCAAGGCAAUGAUCGGUA